Molecule: ribosomal RNA, 472 nt
Filed under: uncultured bacterium
Lineage: Bacteria
Description: bacterial SSU rRNA
Rfam family: Bacterial small subunit ribosomal RNA
Source: RNAcentral
UGAGGAAUAUUGGACAAUGGGCGAAAGCCUGAUCCAGCCAUGCCGCGUGUGUGAAGAAGGUCUUCGGAUUGUAAAGCACUUUAAGUUGGGAGGAAGGGCAGUUACCUAAUACGUGAUUGUUUUGACGUUACCGACAGAAUAAGCACCGGCUAACUCUGUGCCAGCAGCCGCGGUAAUACAGAGGGUGCAAGCGUUAAUCGGAAUUACUGGGCGUAAAGCGCGCGUAGGUGGUUAGUUAAGUUGGAUGUGAAAUCCCCGGGCUCAACCUGGGAACUGCAUUCAAAACUGACUGACUAGAGUAUGGUAGAGGGUGGUGGAAUUUCCUGUGUAGCGGUGAAAUGCGUAGAUAUAGGAAGGAACACCAGUGGCGAAGGCGACCACCUGGACUGAUACUGACACUGAGGUGCGAAAGCGUGGGGAGCAAACAGGAUUAGAUACCCAAGUAGUCCCUGAGCGGGCUGGCAAGGCGCAU